This 1361-nucleotide ribosomal RNA is filed under the name uncultured bacterium. Its description in RNAcentral is "bacterial SSU rRNA". It matches the Rfam family "Bacterial small subunit ribosomal RNA", at positions 28 to 1381 of the family's 1533-position model. The record is from RNAcentral.
AUUGAACGCUGGCGGCAGGCCUAACACAUGCAAGUCGAGCGGUAGCACAGAGAGCUUGCUCUCGGGUGACGAGCGGCGGACGGGUGAGUAAUGUCUGGGAAACUGCCUGAUGGAGGGGGAUAACUACUGGAAACGGUAGCUAAUACCGCAUAACGUCGCAAGACCAAAGUGGGGGACCUUCGGGCCUCAUGCCAUCAGAUGUGCCCAGAUGGGAUUAGCUAGUAGGUGGGGUAACGGCUCACCUAGGCGACGAUCCCUAGCUGGUCUGAGAGGAUGACCAGCCACACUGGAACUGAGACACGGUCCAGACUCCUACGGGAGGCAGCAGUGGGGAAUAUUGCACAAUGGGCGCAAGCCUGAUGCAGCCAUGCCGCGUGUGUGAAGAAGGCCUUCGGGUUGUAAAGCACUUUCAGCGGGGAGGAAGGCGUUAAGGUUAAUAACCUUGGCGAUUGACGUUACCCGCAGAAGAAGCACCGGCUAACUCCGUGCCAGCAGCCGCGGUAAUACGGAGGGUGCAAGCGUUAAUCGGAAUUACUGGGCGUAAAGCGCACGCAGGCGGUCUGUCAAGUCGGAUGUGAAAUCCCCGGGCUCAACCUGGGAACUGCAUUCGAAACUGGCAGGCUAGAGUCUUGUAGAGGGGGGUAGAAUUCCAGGUGUAGCGGUGAAAUGCGUAGAGAUCUGGAGGAAUACCGGUGGCGAAGGCGGCCCCCUGGACAAAGACUGACGCUCAGGUGCGAAAGCGUGGGGAGCAAACAGGAUUAGAUACCCUGGUAGUCCACGCCGUAAACGAUGUCGAUUUGGAGGUUGUGCCCUUGAGGCGUGGCUUCCGGAGCUAACGCGUUAAAUCGACCGCCUGGGGAGUACGGCCGCAAGGUUAAAACUCAAAUGAAUUGACGGGGGCCCGCACAAGCGGUGGAGCAUGUGGUUUAAUUCGAUGCAACGCGAAGAACCUUACCUGGUCUUGACAUCCACAGAACUUAGCAGAGAUGCUUUGGUGCCUUCGGGAACUGUGAGACAGGUGCUGCAUGGCUGUCGUCAGCUCGUGUUGUGAAAUGUUGGGUUAAGUCCCGCAACGAGCGCAACCCUUAUCCUUUGUUGCCAGCGGUUAGGCCGGGAACUCAAAGGAGACUGCCAGUGAUAAACUGGAGGAAGGUGGGGAUGACGUCAAGUCAUCAUGGCCCUUACGACCAGGGCUACACACGUGCUACAAUGGCAUAUACAAAGAGAAGCGACCUCGCGAGAGCAAGCGGACCUCAUAAAGUAUGUCGUAGUCCGGAUUGGAGUCUGCAACUCGACUCCAUGAAGUCGGAAUCGCUAGUAAUCGUAGAUCAGAAUGCUACGGUGAAUACGUUCCCGGGCCU